GACGAACGCUGGCGGCGUGCUUAACACAUGCAAGUCGAACGGAAAGGCCCUGCUUUUGUGGGCUGCUCGAGUGGCGAACGGGUGAGGAACACGUGAGUAACCUACCCUUGACUUUGGUAUAACUUCAGGAAACUGGGGCUAAUACCGUAUAGGAUAUCCUGCUGCAUUGUGGGGGUUGGAUAUUUUCGGCGGUUGGGGAUGGACUCGCGGCUUAUCAGCUUGUUGGUGGGGUGGUUGCUUACCAAGGCUUUGACGGGUAGCCGGCCUGAGAGGGUGACAGGCCACAUUGGGACUGAGAUACGGCACAGACUCCUACGGGAGGCAGCAGUGGGGAAUAUUGCACCAUGGGCGGAAGCCUGAUGCAGCAACGCCGCGUGCGGGAUGACGGCCUUCGGGUUGUAAACCGCUUUCGCCUGAGACGAAGGGUGAGUGACGGUAAUGGGUAGAGAAGGAACGGCUAAAUACGUG
This 468-nucleotide ribosomal RNA is filed under the name uncultured bacterium. Its description in RNAcentral is "partial 16S ribosomal RNA". It matches the Rfam family "Bacterial small subunit ribosomal RNA", at positions 28 to 507 of the family's 1533-position model. The record is from RNAcentral.